This 490-nucleotide ribosomal RNA is filed under the name uncultured bacterium. Its description in RNAcentral is "partial 16S ribosomal RNA". It matches the Rfam family "Bacterial small subunit ribosomal RNA", at positions 29 to 507 of the family's 1533-position model. The record is from RNAcentral.
AGUGAACGCUGGCGGUAGGCCUAACACAUGCAAGUCGAACGGCAGCACAGGAGAGCUUGCUCUCUGGGUGGCGAGUGGCGGACGGGUGAGGAAUACAUCGGAGUCUACCUUUUCGUGGGGGAUAACGUAGGGAAACUUACGCUAAUACCGCAUACGACCUACGGGUGAAAGUGGGGGACCGCAAGGCCUCACGCGAUUAGAUGAGCCGAUGUCCGAUUAGCUAGUUGGCGGGGUAAUGGCCCACCAAGGCGACGAUCGGUAGCUGGUCUGAGAGGAUGAUCAGCCACACUGGAACUGAGACACGGUCCAGACUCCUACGGGAGGCAGCAGUGGGGAAUAUUGGACAAUGGGCGCAAGCCUGAUCCAGCCAUACCGCGUGGGUGAAGAAGGCCUUCGGGUUGUAAAGCCCUUUUGUUGGGAAAGAAAUCCUGUCGAUUAAUACUCGGUGGGGAUGACGGUACCCAAAGAAUAAGCACCGGCUAACUUCGUG